GCCCCGUUAGUCUAGCCCGGUCAAUUUUAUAAAUUUAAAAAUAGCUGAGAGGAUGCGGCCCUCUCAAGGCCGAGGCCCGGGUUCAAAUCCCGGACGGGGCA
This 101-nucleotide transfer RNA is filed under the name Candidatus Aenigmatarchaeota archaeon. Its description in RNAcentral is "tRNA-Glu". It matches the Rfam family "tRNA". Rfam says of the family: Transfer RNA (tRNA) molecules are approximately 80 nucleotides in length. Lineage: Archaea; Nanobdellati; Candidatus Aenigmatarchaeota. The record is from RNAcentral.